This is a long non-coding RNA of Homo sapiens (human), 2178 nucleotides long. Ensembl annotates it as CCDC26 long non-coding RNA. Its record names the gene CCDC26. Lineage: Eukaryota; Metazoa; Chordata; Mammalia; Primates; Hominidae. The record is from Ensembl.
ACAGUGCUACUGGCCCAUAAUCAGGCAACUGCAGAGUCUUAGGGGGUUAUCUAAUGUAGUCUUGGGGUGGCUGGAUAGACUUCCCAAAGAAGGUGAUGCCGAAGCUGAGGUCGGAAAUUACGAAGAUCAGCUAUCAAACUUGGAAAUCAUGUCUUAGAGAUCAAGGAGCCAAGAGAUGAGACAAGCCUGGGUUCCUAGGUGAUAGGGUGUGGCUGUGUCCCCACCCAAAUCUCGUCUUGAAUUGUAGCUCCCAUAAUCCCCACAUGUUGUGGAGGGACCCUGUGGAAGGAAGGCCUGAGGAGAGAAGACACAUAGUCAUGCUGACUAAACCAGAUCACCUAGAAUUACCAAAUGGAAAGGCUACACAGAAGCACUGCUGAUUUCAGCCCUGGCAGGACUCCUGUUUAAACAUACUUCCCAGAAAUCUUGGGCAGCUUGCCAUGGCAUUGUGUUAAGAAAAGGAUUGGUAGACAGAGAGAUGCACUGUUGAGAUUACCCUUCAGGAAGGACUUGCUACCGACUACAGGGGACAGGAAUCAGCAGACAUCCUCCAGCCAUCAGCUUCUUCAGGAUCUACCUCAGCGUCAAGGAACCACCUGACCUGAGGUCUCAUUCUUCCUUGGGCAGACUACAUCUUAUAACAAAGUGAGGUAAGGGCAUAAAAACCGCUCAGGUGGGGUCACUGAGGGAUACUCUGACAGGUAAUACUAACUCGAGAACUCCCCACCAAGCUGACUCUUGGUUUAGUGUGCAUUGCAUUAGUGAUCUUGAAAGGCAAUAGCAAGGAAGAAAGCUCCUGCCCAGAGCUUUGAGCAUUGCCCCUGGUUAUCCAUUUUAUGGAUAUCCAUUUUGUGAGAAAAGAUAAUUGGCCAAGGUUAGAAUAUAUAUGGACACAUGGACAGGUGUAAAUGGCCUGGCAGGCUGGUCAGUGAUGUGGAAAGAAAGGCAUUGGAAGACCAGAGGCAGGAGUUUUGGCUACAGGCAUAUGAAUGUGCAUUUGGAAGUAGGCACAAUGUAUCAUUGUACAACAGAUGAACAGCCACCUGAGAGUACCUACCAUCAGAAAGGCACUAAGCAGCCAAGGAGACAAAAUGAUUAGUUAGUUGAUAUCAACCAGCUUCUUUCAUCAGCAACCCCAGUGUUGGUGUGAUAGGCACAUGAGCGAUGUGGCCAAGGUGGCAGAGAUGGAGAUUACGCACAAGUCCUACGGCAUGGACUCCCACUGACCAAGGCUGACGAGCUACUGAAAUGGCAUGGCAAUGGAUGUUGGAUGAUCCAGCAGAAGAAAUAAAACAAUGAACUCUUGACAUAGCACCAAUCCUUGACAAGAUGAGUUGACCACAUCAGGCCUAUUCUGUUCUAGAUAAACCAGUGGUUCAUUCUCACAGGAACAGACACAAUAUUUUGGGUUAGUAUUAGCCUUUAUUACCUUUGAAAUUUAAGCAACGACCACGAUUUGAAUGCUUACAGCAUGAUAUGCUAGUGUGGGAUUCCUAACAUUGUAUCAACCCAGAAGACCCACUUUAUAGCAAAGGAGGGCUGGAGGUGUUCUUGUGUUGAGCAACAGUGCACUCUCCUAGGUGAUACCUCUCAGUCCCAUGGCAUAAUUUGUGACACUAUUUUACAACUGUUGGUUCAUAAAUACAUACUAGGCAUUCCUGAUCCAAGUGUCUUGUUUUCCCAGCUCUCUAGAGCAGGUUUUUGGACAAGAAGAUAGUCACCCCUAUUUUAACGCCCUGCUCCUGCCAGAGGACAAUUCUGUACUAUUCUGUGCAAUAGUGCUUAUCAAAUUAGCAUUAACAGCUUAGGAAUGAUUAGAAUAAUAAUAGUAAUCAUUAAAAUUUAGGAAACAUUUGGGGAUUUGAAGUUAGGACUCAAAAUUCAUUAGGUUUAUUGAUAUAAUUUAUCAGUCAUAAAACAAGAUCUUACAUGAGUUCUGUGCACACUUGUUUUUCCAUAAAUGUACUUGUGAUAAUGGACAAUAAUGAAAAAAUAUGCCCAGGGAUUCUGGAGACAUGGCUUAAAAUCAGAUGCAAUGACUUUGACUUUUCUUCAUGCCUCAUGUCUCAUUUUAAAAUUUUAUGUAAAUUUUGUCUUUUUAUUUUAUAAUAUAUCCAUUUAUGUCUUGUUAUAAAACAAUCUAUCUCCAAAUCUUAAUAAAAAUAAAUGUUCAAAGAA